Molecule: ribosomal RNA, 788 nt
Filed under: uncultured bacterium
Lineage: Bacteria
Description: bacterial SSU rRNA
Rfam family: Bacterial small subunit ribosomal RNA
Source: RNAcentral
GUGCCUAAUACAUGCAAGUCGAGCGCAGGAAAUCAUCCGAACCCUUCGGGGGGACGUUGAUGGAAUGAGCGGCGGACGGGUGAGUAACACGUAAAGAACCUGCCCUCGGGUCUGGGAUAACCACGAGAAAUCGGGGCUAAUACCGGAUGGGUCAUCGGACCGCGUGGUCCGAGGAUGAAAGGCGCUUCGGCGUCGCCUGGGGAUGGCUUUGCGGUGCAUUAGCUAGUUGGGGGGGUAAUGGCCCACCUAGGCGACGAUGCAUAGCCGACCUGAGAGGGUGAUCGGCCACACUGGGACUGAGACACGGCCCAUACUCCUACGGGAGGCAGCAGUAGGGAAUUUUCCACAAAUGGACGAAAAGUUUGAUGGAGCAACGCCCGCGUGAACGAGAAGGCGCUCGGGUCAUAAAGUUCUGUUGUAAGGGAAGAACAAGUUCCGCAGGCAAUGGCGGCACCUUGACGGUACCUUGCGAGAAAGCCACGGCUAACUACGUGCCAGCAGCCGCGGUAAUACGUAGGUGGCAAGCGUUGUCCGGAAUUAUUGGGCGUAAAGCGCGCGCAGGCGGCCUUUUAAGUUUGAUGUGAAAGCCCCCGGCUCAACCGGGGAGGGCCAUUGGAAACUGGGAGGCUUGAGUAUAGGAGAGAAGAGUGGAAUUCCACGUGUAGCGGUGAAAUGCGUAGAGAUCUGGAGGAAUACCGGUGGCGAAGGCGGCCCCCUGGACAAAGACUGACGCUCAGGUGCGAAAGCGUGGGGAGCAAACAGGAUUAGAUACCCUGGUAGUCCACGCC